RNAcentral lists this transfer RNA (77 nucleotides) under Peptostreptococcaceae bacterium pGA-8. RNAcentral describes it as "tRNA_Arg_ACG". It matches the Rfam family "tRNA". From Rfam's summary of the family: Transfer RNA (tRNA) molecules are approximately 80 nucleotides in length. Their secondary structure includes four short double-helical elements and three loops (D, anti-codon, and T loops). Further hydrogen bonds mediate the characteristic L-shaped molecular structure. tRNAs have two regions of fundamental functional importance: the anti-codon, which is responsible for specific mRNA codon recognition, and the 3' end, to which the tRNAs corresponding amino acid is attached (by aminoacyl-tRNA synthetases). tRNAs cope with the degeneracy of the genetic code in two manners: having more than one tRNA (with a specific anti-codon) for a particular amino acid; and 'wobble' base-pairing, i.e. permitting non-standard base-pairing at the 3rd anti-codon position. The record is from RNAcentral. Lineage: Bacteria; Bacillati; Bacillota; Clostridia; Peptostreptococcales; Peptostreptococcaceae. RNAcentral also lists the same sequence under 4 other names.
GCGCUAUUAGCUCAAUUGGAUAGAGUCGCGCACUACGAAUGCGAAGGUUGGGGGUUCGAGUCCCUCAUGGCGCACCA